RNAcentral lists this long non-coding RNA (610 nucleotides) under Hordeum vulgare. RNAcentral's name for it is "long non-coding RNA (HVUL_LNC010516)". The record is from RNAcentral. Lineage: Eukaryota; Viridiplantae; Streptophyta; Magnoliopsida; Poales; Poaceae.
GAAAGUCGAAACACAACGGGUUCCAUAAACAUUGGGUAUUAUACUGGUUUAAAAUGUAUACAUUGGUACAUAAAAAACUGGGGUGAUUCUCGUUUGCUGGAGUAAUUAACUACUCCCUCCGAAAAAAAUACAAAAGCGUUUAGAUCACUAAACGCUUUUAUAUUUGUUUACAAGGGAGUACUAGCUACGAUACAUGGUACGUGCGGAGUACAACCACAAAUACAGUAAAUGAAAUAAAACAAGCUGUAAAACAAGAUACAAUGAAGCACAGACACUACUACUCAAUGAAGCGCAGACACUACCCCUACUCUGCAGGAUUUUCAGCCAACGGAUCAAAUCCUGCAUCCCUCCAUCUGCAUACAGAAUACAAACCGAAGCGUAAGAAGAAGAAAACAAACUAUAUGCGAUUGGGGUAGAAGAAAGGAUUUAGUGAGUUUUUACCAGGAUGUUAAUUAGUUGCCGUCGGCUUCUUCGGAGUUCUCCGUCUUCAUCUGAUCAUCUCCUCCUCCUUCACCUUGCGUAUUUCCUUCUCCAACCUGAACCUCUCCCUCUCCACGCGCUCAAACACCUCUGCCAGCUUCGUCAUCUCCGCCGCCAGCUUCGUCACCCC